GUGGGGAAUAUUGGGCAAUGGGGGCAACCCUGACCCAGCGACGCCGCGUGGGGGAAGACGGCCUUCGGGUUGUAAACCUCUUUUGUACGGGAAGAAGGAAGUGACGGUACUGUACGAAUAAGUCCCGGCUAACUACGUGCCAGCAGCCGCGGUAAGACAGAGGGUGCAAGCGUUGUCCGGAUUGACUGGGUGUAAAGGGCGUGUAGGCGGCCGAGUAAGUCUGACGUGAAAACAUCACCGCUCAACGGGAUGUACGCGGUGGAAACUGUUCGGCUUGAGUACAGGAGAGGUUAACGGAAUUCCAGGUGUAGCGGUGGAAUGUGUAGAUAUCUGGAGGAACACCGGUGGCGAAAGCGGUUAACUGGCCUGUGACUGACGCUGAGGCGCGAAAGCCAGGGGAGCAAACGGGAUUAGAAACCCGUGUAGUCC
RNAcentral lists this ribosomal RNA (429 nucleotides) under uncultured bacterium. RNAcentral describes it as "partial 16S ribosomal RNA". It matches the Rfam family "Bacterial small subunit ribosomal RNA", at positions 354 to 796 of the family's 1533-position model. The record is from RNAcentral.